This 625-nucleotide long non-coding RNA is filed under the name Nicotiana benthamiana. Its description in RNAcentral is "long non-coding RNA (NBEN_LNC005987)". Lineage: Eukaryota; Viridiplantae; Streptophyta; Magnoliopsida; Solanales; Solanaceae. The record is from RNAcentral.
UAAAGUGACAUCUUUUGAGAACGUUCAGAUUUACAACCUGGUCACCACAAUCCUUAAUAUACAAGGAGCAUCCAAUAAUGGGACAACGUCAUUUCCGAAGACCAUUCUUUUACCUAGCCACUGAGACAUUUUUGACAAAGCUAAUUAGGGAUGGAUUCUUCAUGCUACGAGGUGAGAGAAUAUCAUGUGAUUUUUGUAUGCUUCACUGCAAUUAGAGAAAAAAAAGAUUGUUAUAGUUGAUUUAAGGUGAUGCACCUUUUGUACCUCGUGGCAUGACUUCACUUUUAUUGGCUUCUGGAAUUAGUCUAUUAGGUGUUGCAGCUUUUAUUUUUAUAGCUGGCCUAUUUUUAAAUUACUAGACUGUGGCUGCUGUGUAGAUAGAGAAUGAAUCAAUAAAAGAAUGUCCUUCGAUAUAUUUGUUUAACAUAUUCAUAUUUGUGGCUGUUGUGUAGAUAGAGAAUAAAUCGAUAAAAGAAUGUCCUUCGAUAUUUGUUAAACAUAUUCAUAUUCUAUCUUUUUUCUAAAUGAGAAGUUAUCCGUAUCCAUAUUCUAUCUUUUACUCCAUAUGUUUGGUAUGUAUUUUGUUAUCUAUCAUCUCGUUUCCUUUGUGCAUUUUUGGCGUUUC